AUGCAAAAGGCUUGCCUCCAGGUUACAACAACACAACCACACCACAAAACCACAAUCCAGACCCACAAAACUCACAACAACGCAUCAUGCGAUAACAACACAACUAAACGCCCCAGAAAACUCACAACAACGCAUCAUGACUAUAACAACACAACUAAACGCCCCAGAAAUACAAAACUUGGCAAAACAAUGCAAAAGCCUUGCCUCCCAGUUGUAACAACACAACCACACCACAAAAACACACUGGACCCACAAAACUCACAACAGUGCAUCGUGACUAUAACAACACAACUAAACGCCCCAGAAAUACAAAACUUGGCACACAACUAAACGCCCCAGAAAUACAAAACUUGGCAACACAACACAAAAGCCUUGCCUCUCAGUUGUAACAACACAACCACACCACAAAACCACCAUCCGGACCCACAAAACUCACAGCAACGCAUUGUGACUAUAACAAAUACAAAAUUUGACAACACAACUCAUCCACCUCCCCAAUCCCUACAUUCACACUUGGCCUCCAAAAAAACAAUUACAAUAAUAACAAUGACAACAACAACAACAAUAAGAAUCAACACCAUCACAGGCAAGAAACAGCCAGGCACUGAGGCUGAGAGGCCAGUCAGUGCUACACUGGGCCUCCAAAAAACAAUACAGUAGCAUCUAACUUAUCCAACCUUCAUGACCACAACAACAACAACAAUAAUAAACACCUACACAGGCAAAACAAAAAAAAGACUAUUGUACCACAAUAAAAAUAUAAACCGCACUCAGGAGAAUCAGACAUUACAACUAACAACAAACCAAAGACAACUGGGAUCUCAAGCAAUUAUCAAUCAACACAAAAAUUGAAGAAGGUAACAGACUUCAAAUACUACUACUAAUGUGAGUAUAAAGAAGGUGGAGGUCACAGCAUCAAUACAACCUAAUGUAGACUGAACAACACCACCAGACUCAGCCACAGCAACGCGUGGCCGGGCACAGCUAGUAUCCUAUAAUUUACGUUUUAUCCAGUUGUGUGGAUAAACAUUUAUCCAUCUUGAGAUCAAACUGAUGCUCCUCUUAAUAUUUUGAGCCAGUGAUCAAAAGUUAUAAUCCAUAUUUUUUUUUCUGGAAACUGAUUUGUCCAUCAAAGACAGUUUUUAAAGUAUGAGUAACUGUUAACACUAUAAAUUUUGUUUUAGCAUUGAGCAACAUUACUGAUGUAUUGGUUUGAGUGUUAUGACUCCGGAUUCCAGGGUUUGAAUCCCUGCUCAGUGAUGGAAACCCACUAGAUGUCCUCAGGAAAGUCACACUUUCUCAGCUUCAAGGGAUGGUAAAAACAUCACAAACAUCCGGGUGUCCCCUGGGCAACGUCCUUGCAGACGGCCAAUUCUCUCACACCAGAAGUGACUUGCAGUUUAUCAAGUCACUCCUGACAAGAAAAAAAGACUUCAAGGGAAGGGAAACGCCCUCUGAACAAAUUUUGUCCAGGAAACCCUGUGACAGGUUUGUGUUAAGUAAUGACUCAAGCUCUGAAUUAUCUUAAUGUUUGGAUAGUUGGGAAAAAUGACCUUAAAUACCCUGAUUCAAACUUGACUAGUUAGAAGUUGACUCUUCAAGAUUAAUGUAUAUCUUCAUUUUUAUUUCAGAUAUCAGGCACUGAUAAGACCCCUGCAGAAAACUAAUGCAGCUCAGGAAGAAUUUACACAUAAAUCAUCUUUGCCAAACACUAACACAAUCCCUUGUAUACUUAAAACAUGAAUUAAGAUGUACAUGCAACGAUGCCAUUUCAGGUGGGAAGACGAGGGAGGGGAGGAAUAUCAUCAGAAGAAAAUUGCUUUUAUUCUAGCUUAACACAUGGACUUAUUAUCACAUCAAGGAGAUGAGAUGAUGGAGAAACCAGAAAAUUGCAGACAUAAUCCUUCACCCAAGUAUUUACAGACAGAAUUGAUGCUGAAGUCAGGGGAAACAUAACUCAUUCUUUCAGGGCAGGACCAAGGAAUGAUCUGUAAGACAUUUCAUCAAUCCAGACAGAUAAAUAAAAUAGAUACUGAACUACACAAAUUCCCAGUUUAAAAUGCAAAUUACAAUCCUGUAAGUUGUUUCUUUUAAAAAAAUUAAUACGCCUAAUUUAAAUAUAAGCGGAGUGGCUAUACGUAAUUAAAAGUAAUUAAAUGCUGACUAACAUAAUAAAUUAAAGUAAACAACAACAACUAAUAACCUAUUAAAGGUAAAGGUUUUCCCUUAACAUUAAGUCCAGUCGUGUCUGACUCUGGAGAUUGGUGCCCACCUUUAUUUGGAAGUUGAAGAGCCAGCAUUGUCUGUAGACACCUCCAAGGUCAAGUGGCCGGCAUGACUGCAUGGAGCACCAUUACCUUCCUGCCAGAGCAGUACCUAUUGAUCUACUCACAUUUGCAUGUUUUCUAACUGCUAGGUUGGCAGAAGCAGGGGCUAACAGCAGGAACUCACUCCACUCCCCAGAUUCAAACCACCAACCUUUCGGUCAAGUUCAGCAGCACGGCGGUUUAACCCGAUGCACCACCAAGGACUCCUUAAUAAACUACUAACAAAAGGAAAAAAUGGUUCCUCAGUGGGUGGAAUUUUUCAGUGAGAUCCUUCAAAAUUAACAAUUUUGUAUUUAAGGAAAGUAUACGGUAUACAGUAGAGUCUCACUUAUCCAACAUAAACGGGCCGGCAGAACGUUGGAUAAGCGAAUAUGUUGGAUAAUAAGGAGAGAUUAAGGAAAAGCCUAUUAAACAUCAAAUUAGGUUAUGAUUUUACAAAUGAAGCACCAAAACAUCAUGUUAGACAACAAAUUUGGCAGAAAAAGUUGUUCAAUAUGCAGUAAUGCUAUGUAGUAAUUACUGUAUUUAUGAAUUUAGCACCAAAAUAUCAUGAUAUAUUGAAAACAUUGACUACAAAAAUGCGUUGGAUAAUCCAGAACGUUGGAUAAGCGAGUGUUGGAUAAGUGAGACUCUACUGUAUCUAUAGGUGGAUAAACAUAUCAUAACAAAAAGAGAAACAAGUGGAAUUUGGGA
Anolis carolinensis (green anole) is the source of this 3020-nucleotide long non-coding RNA. The record is from Ensembl. Lineage: Eukaryota; Metazoa; Chordata; Lepidosauria; Squamata; Anolidae.